UGGGGAAUUUUGGACAAUGGGCGCAAGCCUGAUCCAGCCAUGCCGCGUGCGGGAAGAAGGCCUUCGGGUUGUAAACCGCUUUUGUCAGGGAAGAAAUCUUCUGAGUUAAUACCUCGGGAGGAUGACGGUACCUGAAGAAUAAGCACCGGCUAACUACGUGCCAGCAGCCGCGGUAAUACGUAGGGUGCAAGCGUUAAUCGGAAUUACUGGGCGUAAAGCGUGCGCAGGCGGUUUUGUAAGACAGAGGUGAAAUCCGGCNCACNGGGAACUGCCUUUGUGACUGCAAGGCUUGAGUGCGGCAGAGGGGGGAUGGAAUUCCGCGUGUAGCAGUGAAAAUGCGUNGAUAUGCGGAGGAACACCGAUGGC
RNAcentral lists this ribosomal RNA (366 nucleotides) under uncultured bacterium. RNAcentral's name for it is "partial 16S ribosomal RNA". It matches the Rfam family "Bacterial small subunit ribosomal RNA", at positions 355 to 716 of the family's 1533-position model. The record is from RNAcentral.